Molecule: long non-coding RNA, 4163 nt
Filed under: Arabidopsis thaliana (thale cress)
Lineage: Eukaryota; Viridiplantae; Streptophyta; Magnoliopsida; Brassicales; Brassicaceae
Description: long non-coding RNA (ATHA_LNC000369)
Source: RNAcentral
CGAGUCUUCUUGUGGGUCCCUCAGGGAUCCAACAUCCACACUAUUGGCCAGCUUGAUGUCAUCUUCUGUUCUUCGCCUGAUGAAGACGGGCUUUCCACGCCACUUGACUGUCACGGUAGUUCCUGGUUCUAUGCUCCCUAGGUCAACCUCAAGGGAUGCAAGGGCAAGGACAUCUUUACUUGCAGACAUGCUCACAAUAAGCUUCAAAACAAGCAGGCGGAGGACAGAGGCAUAAACAAACCUCCCACCCGACAAGACAAAAUAGGCGAAUGCACGCUUGCUAGGGUCACCAGGUGGGUAACGCUCAUGGUUAUGGUCAUCAUAGACAAUCUUUGAGUUAGGCGUUUUGACAGCUUCGACUGUGGCUGGGACUUCUGAACCAAAACCUAUCUCAUUUCCUUGAGCAAGGACUUGAGAAGAGAAGCCUGAAAAUAGCAUGAAACAUUAAUAUUUCACAUCAAAGGCAAACUUUAUACUUGGUCAAGUGUUCUACAAGAAUAAGAAUAAGCCACAGGACUACCACAAUCAAGAUGUGACCAUUGAUGUAUAAUCUUCUAAGGAAAAACAAAAGUACAUAAAACGGAUUCCAUGAAGUAUGAGAUCCAUCCAAACAAUUCAAACCAUCGUAUCAAACUCGGGGAGUGGAAACUUAAAUACGAUAAUCUCCAUAAAAAAAACAAGAGAACAAAUUCAAUGAUCAACAUGGAAACAGAAGAACAAAAAAUUGGAAUCUAGAAGCCAAUGUGAAUCACACUAUGGAUAACGCAUUCCAAUGAUUUACAAGCAAGGAGCUUUAGUCAUCAACCAAAGAAUUACAUCUAAACAGGUCAAUCCAUAAUCCAUCAAUAAACUCAAAUGUUCAUUUCCUUCUGGACGAAAGAAUGAAUCAGAGAAGCCAAGUAUACCAAAUUCAUCCAAACAAAUCAAUAAUAACAAAUUCAGUGAAACCUUAAAUACUAAAACCAACGUAAUAAACCAAGAGAAAAAAAUAUAUUGAUCAGAUGCUGUAUAUUACAGAAACGCUUAAAACACAACAAAAUUUCCAAUGCUAAGAACAAACAAAGCUCUUUGGUUAAGAAAACAUAAAUUUCAGAAUGCAAGUUCCUCAGCAUGCCUUUAAACAGCUAUAAAUCCUACAAACAUAGUAUACAGUUAAAACAUCCAUGUCCCUAACAAUGAAGAACUCAAAAGGAUUGAUACACAAGAUCAAAUUUCAAAAACCAAGAAGCCAGUGGUGAAUCAUACUAUGAUUAACGCACCGAAAAGAGGAAACUUUCCUAGUAAAACAAAGGAUUAUCUCAGAACUGAACAAUCCACACGAAAGAAGUAAUCAUCAAAUGCAAUACAAAUCCAGCAAGGAGAAGAAUGUAGCCAAAUGGUACAUCAAGCUCAUGGAAUUCAAAUCAGAUGACACGUUUGUUCCCACGGAUCAUUGCAGAUACAAUACUAGAAAUCUCAAUCAUUCCCGUGAAUCAUACAACCAAAAAAAGAAGACCUUUUCAAAAAUCAAUCAAUCAAAUAAAACUGCAAAGAACCACCGAAAAUGAAAAAUCAAUGUAGAGAGAGAGGGAAAGGGUUAUAAAUCGGCAAACCUCUGAUAAGGCUACGGUGGUAAGAUGAGAGAUCUGCAGAGGGGAGGGAUCUGGGAGCUGAAGAGGAGUCGCCGCCACCAUCGGAAAGGGUAUGGUCACGGGAGACGACGAAGGAGGUCGCAGUCGAAGAUCUCUGCGAGACAGAGAAAAGCCUCCUCCCUGCUACACGCAGCAUCUCUCAGCUCAAAUGUGAAUCUAGGGUUUCGCUCUAGCUGAACAGAGAAAUCCUCAGGUUUGGGACGGCCGAUGCAAAACAAAACAUAAGAGACUACUUACUAGUAAGUCCCUUAAAAAUUGUCUUUGAGAAAAGGUCAAUUUGUUUUGUUUUUUUUGGUUUUUGCGUAUUACUUGAUAUUUUUUUACUUCAGGAUUUUGAUGGCAUGGUUUUUUUUCUAAUUUUAAUUAAUAAAAUCUUUUGGUUUUACGAUAUAAUUUUUUUGUGUGUGUGUAUUUGUAAGAUAAAUUAUUUUAUUUGUAUAAAAAUCGUAAUUUUUAAUAAUAAUAAUAGGGGGUCUAUACUUGGUAAAGGAUAUAUUUUGUUGUUGUAAUGUUUAAACAAGAUUUCCAACAAAAAGACUGUUUUACAUCUGUGUGAACUUUUCAAUACUAGAAGAAAGAGCUAGAAGGACAUCAUCAAAGAAGUAGUCAUCGAUGAAAACAAUCUGAACAAGAAAAUUAGGCUAAGAUCCACAACCAGAAUAUGACAUCUUUCAUCAAAGUAGUAGUCUCGAGGUUCACAAUUGGAUUUCUCACUAUGGAAGAGAAGGUUUAUGGCUUAGUUGAGAAUUGAAGGUCUUCGAAAUGUCGUCUCCAGUAAGAACACGAAAGUUUUAUAACACACCUUGAACCUUACCAAGUUUUUGUCUCAAUUGUGAUAAUGGCUACAGACUUUAAGGAAAGGAAACUCUCUUACAAACGAUAUGUUACAAAAUUACAAACAUAAGAAAAAUAGGGAUGAUACUAUUCAAAACUCUUUUCAAAUAAUAAACAGAGACUAUGAAGUAUGAACAAUGUAUUUUCACCAGAUGAGACAGAUACUAAGUCAUACAAUGACAAGUUUGUAUUAUUCAGCAAAACAAGCCAAUUUUUGCUGAGCCCAAAGUGUGAGGAAAGCGAACUUGCACGCUAAAAUGCCGGAAAAUAUAAAAACAAAAACAGAUUUAAGAUCAUCCAGACCAUGACACUCGGACUGUUGUGCUUUAUUCAUUAACCAAUGAGUAAUUUAUUCUCUUCCAAGAAGCUGUAGGUCGGUACUUCCAGGUUGUAUGGUGCAGGACCUUUCCUAAUUCUUCCAGAUAUAUCGUAAUGUGAUCCGUGACACGGACAAAACCAACCACCAUAAUCACCAGCAUUAGGCAAGGGGAUGCACCCCAAAUGAGUGCAUACUCCAACCACGAUCAACCAUUCUGGAUUCUUGACUCUAACCGAGUCUUCUUGUGGGUCCCUCAGGGAUCCAACAUCCACACUAUUGGCCAGCUUGAUGUCAUCUUCUGUUCUUCGCCUGAUGAAGACGGGCUUUCCACGCCACUUGACUGUCACGGUAGUUCCUGGUUCUAUGCUCCCUAGGUCAACCUCGAGGGAUGCAAGGGCAAGGACAUCUUUACUUGCAGACAUGCUCACAAUAAGCUUCAGAACAAGCAGGCGGAGAACAGAGGCAUAAACAAACCUUCCACCCGACAAGACAAAAUAGGCGAAUGCCCGCUUGCUAGGGUCACCAGGUGGGUAACGCUCAUGGUUAUGGUCGUCAUAGACAAUCUUUGAGUUAGGUGUUUUGACAGCUUCGACUGUGGCUGGGACUUCCGAACCAAAACCUAUCUCAUUUCCCUGAGUAAUGACUUGAGAAGCAAAACCUGAAAAUAGCAUGAAACAUUAAUAUUUCACAUCAAGGGCAAACUUUAUACUUGGUCAAGUGUUCAACAACACCAAGUAUUAAGCAAAAAUAUUUUCAAGAGAUAACACAGAAGAAAGGAAUAACACUAGCAAACAUUUAACAUUAAUGCAUAGAAUAACAUAAGAUUAUAAAAACGGAUUCCAAGAGAUAACAGAAGGUGUCAUCCAAACAAUUUUCUACCAUGAUAUCAAAUUCAGUGAAAACUAAACUAAUCUAUCUAACGCAAGAUCCAAGGAAGGAACUUCAAUGAUCAUAAAUGCUUAAAACAUAAGAAAACUCCUAAGAUAAGAUUGCAAACAUAGCCCUUUUGGUUAAAGAUAUGGAAUUCCAGAUUCGUUUACUGAUGCAAGUAUCUUAUAUGAUGUGCCCAAAGACGAUAAAACAUCCAUUUCCAUAAUAAUGAAUAAACUACAUGUCAAAAUCGAUUAUCUCAUCAAAAAAGGAUUAUCUCAAAGCUGGUCAAUUCAUAUCCGAUCAAUCACUAUUCCAGCAAGGAGAAGAAUGAGACGAAAUGGUACAUCAAGCUCUAAUACACAUCAUAAGAAUUCAAAACAGAUGACUUAAUUCCCAUAGAUCAUCUCGCAGAUACGAAACUAGGAAUCUCAAUCAUUUCCGGACUUAUACAAGCCCAAAAGAGGUGACUUUUAAAAAUUUAUGAAUCAUUCAAUGGAUAACACCAG